UCUAAUACCGGAUAUAACCACUGGUCUCAUGAUCGGGUGGUGGAAAGUUUUUCGGUUGGGGAUGGGCUCGCGGCCUAUCAGCUUGUUGGUGGGGUGAUGGCCUACCAAGGCGACGACGGG
Molecule: ribosomal RNA, 120 nt
Filed under: Actinomadura luteofluorescens
Lineage: Bacteria; Bacillati; Actinomycetota; Actinomycetes; Streptosporangiales; Thermomonosporaceae
Description: partial 16S rRNA
Rfam family: Bacterial small subunit ribosomal RNA
Source: RNAcentral